UACGUAGGGGGCGAGCGUUGUUCGGAAUUACUGGGCGUAAAGGGUGCGUAGGCGGCGCGGUAAGUCGGGUGUGAAAUCUCGGAGCUUAACUCCGAAACUGCAUUCGAUACUGCCGUGCUUGAGGACUGGAGAGGAGACUGGAAUUUACGGUGUAGCGGUGAAAUGCGUAGAUAUCGUAAGGAAGACCAGUGGCGAAGGCGGGUCUCUGGACAGUUCCUGACGCUGAGGCACGAAGGCCAGGGGAGCAAACGGG
RNAcentral lists this ribosomal RNA (253 nucleotides) under uncultured bacterium. RNAcentral describes it as "partial 16S ribosomal RNA". It matches the Rfam family "Bacterial small subunit ribosomal RNA", at positions 524 to 776 of the family's 1533-position model. The record is from RNAcentral.